Macadamia integrifolia is the source of this 1275-nucleotide long non-coding RNA. RefSeq lists it as uncharacterized. The record is from RefSeq and is a predicted model, not a curated record. NCBI's taxonomy places the organism in Eukaryota, Viridiplantae, Streptophyta, Magnoliopsida, Proteales, Proteaceae. The transcript is spliced from 2 exons.
UUAAGGAACACAUAUAAAACUUUAAAACCUUAAUCUCCACACAAGUACUAUUUUAUCCCAUACAUGUAAUAGAUCCACAGCCCAAUCCAAUUACAAAAUACAAGUCCAACAAUGAUUAUAUGGACCCAUAGAGAGACUCUAUUUAACCCCUAACACCUCGUUGUUAUUUUACCCCUUUAUUCUUGGCCGGCUGGUUGCAGACUUGUGAGUUGUGGGCUUUGUAUGCUAAUGAUCAUUCCUUGUAAAGUUCAUAAAGUUUCCGUUUUUCUUUUCUCCCCUUCAUUUCCACGACAACAUAUAACCUCCUCCUCCUCUUUCUCCUCCUUCUCCGGGUCGCACUCAUUGAAAUUAAGAUGGAAUCCUUGGAGCUUCAGUGGCCUGACCUUGACCUCAAAUUAGGGCAUGCGUCAAGCAACGAUCUGCACAUAAGUGCAAGUGACCCGUACUCGUCAAUCCUUGGAACGCGCGCGUUCCAGAGGAUAUGGACCGACCGCUUUCCUAUUUCUCAGGAUUCCAGAGGAUACAGACCGCCACAUUAAUUCCUAUUCCUCAGGAGGUCAGGAGUUAAGAAUCCCACUCUCUGCUCCUCUUCAACUCAUCUAGGUGCUUCCCAUUUUGUGUUACGCUUCCAGCAGAGGACACGAUUCAAGGUUUCAAGUUCUUUGAAGAGGUGUAGGGAAUUUUUUUUUGGUUCAUUGAAGAAGUGAACGAAGAAGUUGAAUGUACGCCAUCUAGAAACAUGGAAUAAUUUGAAGCUUCUUCGUCAAGGUUAUGAAAGAUGGGAGGAUUACUCAAGCAGGAAAAUACGAAGAACUUCUUAGUUCGGGAGUUGACUUUAUGGAGUUAGUAGGUGCACAUAAGAAAGCUUUAGCAGAACUUAAUUCUAUCGAACAUGGAGCUGCUUUAGAUAAUUUAAUUGAUGGUGAGGAAGAUGGUAAUAAAUUGUAUGACAAGAAACAUGCUCAAGAUGAAGGGGAAAGGGAACCCCAAAACUACGAACCAGAAAAACUAGUUGGGCCAAUAGGGCAACUUGUCCAAGAAGAAAAGAGAGAAAAGGAUGUAGUCAGUCCUUCAGUCUAUUGGAAGUAUAAUACCACUGCAUAUAAAGGGGCUUUUGUACCAUUGAUUUUGUUAGCACAAGUUAUUUUUCAGCUUCUCUUAAUAGUUAGUAAUUAUUGGAUGGUGUUGGCUACUCCAGCUUCAGAAGAUGUGAGAUCUUGUAUUAGAGAACCAACUCUCAUCUUCGUUUAUGUUGUUUUGACCCUUGGAAGCUCA